AUACGUAGGUGGCAAGCGUUGUCCGGAAUUAUUGGGCGUAAAGCGCGCGCAGGUGGUUCCUUAAGUCUGAUGUGAAAGCCCCCGGCUCAACCGGGGAGGGUCAUUGGAAACUGGGGAACUUGAGUGCAGAAGAGGAUAGUGGAAUUCCAAGUGUAGCGGUGAAAUGCGUAGAGAUUUGGAGGAGCACCAGUGGCGAAGGCGACUGUCUGGUGUGUAACGGACACUGAGGCGCGAAAGCGUGGGGAGCAAACAGGAUUAGAUACCCUGGUAGUCCACGCCGUAAACGAUGAGUGCUAAGUGUUGGGGGGUUUCCGCCCCUCAGUGCUGCAGCUAACGCAUUAAGCACUCCGCCUGGGGAGUACGGUCGCAAGACUGAAACUCAAAGGAAUUGACGGGG
RNAcentral lists this ribosomal RNA (397 nucleotides) under uncultured bacterium. Its description in RNAcentral is "partial 16S ribosomal RNA". It matches the Rfam family "Bacterial small subunit ribosomal RNA", at positions 523 to 918 of the family's 1533-position model. The record is from RNAcentral.